This is a long non-coding RNA of Cuculus canorus (common cuckoo), 457 nucleotides long. RefSeq lists it as uncharacterized. The transcript has 3 exons. NCBI's taxonomy places the organism in Eukaryota, Metazoa, Chordata, Aves, Cuculiformes, Cuculidae. The record is from RefSeq and is a predicted model, not a curated record.
GUAUUUUUCUCCUUCUCCUGAUUUUUGACCUUCUCCUUCAGAUGCUCAAUCUCCCUGCGGAGGUCUGCGAUGAUGCUGGUGUAUUGGUCCAUGUGGUACGAGUCGUUCCGCAGGUUACAUUUUACCUGGGACAGCACGGUCCGAGUCAAGCCCUGAUCACGUCAUAGAGCUCAUGCAAGAUCCUGGAGAAGCAUUCCAAGCUGCAUAAAGACAACUCACAGAUAUAUUCAGGGAUCAGCUCUCAAGCCCUGUCUGAUUUGGGCAGUGAUACCAGCAAGACACAGCAGCUCCUCGCUGACCCGGGGUGUCCAGUACCUUCAGCAGGCGGGACGCUUCAUGUACAAACUACUGCUCUGAAGCAACAGAGAAACACACAGUGUUGGUUUUCCCAGAGAUGAGAACAUGCCUGCAAACCCUGCACCGCCAGCCAAGGAAUCCAGCCUGGUCUCAGCAAAAG